GGAGGNUUUUCUAAACUCUUAUUUAAAUAUUUCUUAGCUGAAGGAGUUUAUCAUAAAAAUGGUAUUUUUGCGUCAAGUUUGACCCAGGAUCCGGUUUCUAUUGUU
Long non-coding RNA from Eurytemora carolleeae, 105 nucleotides. RefSeq lists it as uncharacterized. The transcript is spliced from 2 exons. NCBI's taxonomy places the organism in Eukaryota, Metazoa, Arthropoda, Copepoda, Calanoida, Temoridae. The record is from RefSeq and is a predicted model, not a curated record.